CUUGAGAUAACACUUGUUAUGAGUUGACGCUAUACAAAAUAAAUUGAAUUGAAUUGAAAAAAUUAUUUUCUGUGGCGGAGGAAGUCCGUGCGCCUGAUAACAUAGCUUGAACGGAGGCGGAGUAAUUCAACGGUCCUGUGAAGCAGCCGUAGGGAGAGAGAACGUCUUCGGUGAACCGACAGCAUUCGGACUUGGAUCUAAAUUCAGAGUUCAGGAGGAUUGUCACCACAGACCUGAUGGAGUCUUUCUUUGGUGGACUAGAUGCCUUGUUACCAAACCUUAUAGAGUUGUACCAGUCAGGUGUCACAUCCAACAAGAGGUUAAUCCUGAGAAGAAUUCUGCAGUGUCUUGGGAAAGAGGAUUCAAACCAAAACAGACUUACAGAUGCCCUACUUGGCCUUCCAUGCUUCUUUGCAGAGGAUUAUGUGUGAUGUAAGUUGUUUUAAGAAAACGAUUUCAUGGUCAUAACAUAACAUUUUUAAAACUUUAUUUGAAGGGAUACUUCACCGGUUGAAACAUGAAUCUGUAUUGACAUUGGG
Molecule: long non-coding RNA, 539 nt
Organism: Labrus bergylta (ballan wrasse)
Lineage: Eukaryota; Metazoa; Chordata; Actinopteri; Labriformes; Labridae
Source: RefSeq, a predicted model, not a curated record